This 253-nucleotide ribosomal RNA is filed under the name uncultured bacterium. RNAcentral describes it as "partial 16S ribosomal RNA". It matches the Rfam family "Bacterial small subunit ribosomal RNA", at positions 524 to 776 of the family's 1533-position model. The record is from RNAcentral.
UACAGAGGUCCCAAGCGUUGUUCGGAUUCACUGGGCGUAAAGGGCGCGUAGGCGGGGCGGUAAGUCGGGUGUGAAAUCCCUCGGCCCAACUGAGGAACUGCGCCCGAGACUGCUUCUCUUGAGUCCCGGAGAGGAAGAUGGAAUUCCCGGUGUAGCGGUGAAAUGUGUAGAGCUCGGGAGGAACACCGGUGGCGAAGGCGGUCUUCUGGACGGUGACUGACGCUGAGGCGCGAAAGCGUGGGGAGCAAACGGG